CGCUCACUCCUCCCCCUCCCGACCUGGCGGCCGCCUCCCUCUCUUAUCUCGCUCCCCGCUCUCCAGGGUCUCCUCGCUCUUCAUUCCUCUCGCGGCCUCCUCCCCUUUCCCUCACUCACCCUCUUUCCAAUUGAGGGAUCACAGACUCACUCCGGUUCUGCCAGGGGGACGACCCCCACCCCUCGCAAAACUCGACCACCUCUGACUUCAUGAAAUAUUCUUUCUGUUUGCCCCCCGCAGCAAGCCCCGCGUCCCAUCCCAGGACCCAGCCCCGCCCCUCCGCGCCCCCUUCCUCCUCCUGGCCCGCCGGGCCGAGUGGUGCUGCUGCGGGUGCGGCUGCUCGGAGCCUCCCUGGCCGCCCUCCCCAGGGCCGAUACUGACUCCAUCUGUCAACUUCGUUUAGACUUUGCCGCCCUCAGCCACACGCCGGGGUGCCAGACGCCCAAAGGGUCCUGCCUACCCAUCUGAGGACAUGUCUGCUCAUCACCCAUGUGCAUUCUGUCACAGUGGGACCUGUGUGUGUUCCCUGCUCAUUGUCGUUUCCAUGGUUUUGCUGAUUCUAUGCGAUUCUUCCAGGCCACUCCAAGUUCCACCUCUUCCACGAAGCCCUCCUUGAUUGCUGGGCCCUGGUUGAACUCCUUAUUAGUAACACCCAGGUACAGUCCUGCAGUCCUCAGAGGAUGCCAGUCCCACACAGGGGGAUCCUUCUCCAUAGGAAAACCGAGGAACAAUGCAGGUUCGAGGUGCACAGUGGCUAAGCACACUCAGUCCUCAAGAUCUUUCCUCUCAAAUGCUAAUGCUACCUUCAGAUGGGCUGCUGCCUGCUACCAUUUCAACAUUGAGUCCUUUAAGAUGCCAUCAGAGAGAGGGGAAGCAAGAGGCCAAGAAAAAUGAAAGGAGUUAAGAGUAAACCAUACUCCGGGCAACCAUCACCCCAAAAGGGAGACAACCAGACCUUCUGUGCCUCCCAAUGAAAGUCCACAUUCAACACCACCUACGAAGGAUUCUUACCAAAGACACCAAAACUGAACUCAGGCAACCCUCCAGAUAUAACUACCAAUUUGCAGAAAAUAAAAGGGAUAGAAGAACACAAAGAUGCAAUCAGCAAAAUUCAGACAGGACAAGCAAUAUUUUUUUCAAGAAGAAGAAGAAAAUUGAGGGAGUCUGGAAGAGAUGUAGAGUAAACUGGUAGAGUGAGACACUUAAGGGAUGCAUGAGUUCAGAACAAAGUGUAGACCUCGUUGGGAUCCCAGUUCAGGCAAGCAAAUCUUAAAAUGUUCAUGAGACUGUUGGAGGAAGGCAAACACAGAUAGCAUAGGUGUUGACAUUAAAGAAAUCUUAAUUUUCUGUGUGUGGUGACGGUAUUGCGG
This 1370-nucleotide long non-coding RNA is filed under the name Homo sapiens (human). Its description in RNAcentral is "HSALNT0331606". The record is from RNAcentral. Lineage: Eukaryota; Metazoa; Chordata; Mammalia; Primates; Hominidae.